Molecule: ribosomal RNA, 533 nt
Filed under: uncultured bacterium
Lineage: Bacteria
Description: bacterial SSU rRNA
Rfam family: Bacterial small subunit ribosomal RNA
Source: RNAcentral
CGUUGUCCGGAUUAUUGGGCGUAAAGAGCUUGUAGGCGGUUUGUCGCGUCUGCUGUGAAAGGCCGGAGCUUAACUCCGUGUAUUGCAGUGGGUACGGGCAGACUAGAGUGCAGUAGGGGAGACUGGAAUUCCUGGUGUAGCGGUGGAAUGCGCAGAUAUCAGGAGGAACACCGAUGGCGAAGGCAGGUCUCUGGGCUGUAACUGACGCUGAGAAGCGAAAGCAUGGGGAGCGAACAGGAUUAGAUACCCUGGUAGUCCAUGCCGUAAACGUUGGGCACUAGGUGUGGGGAACAUUCCACGUUUUCCGCGCCGUAGCUAACGCAUUAAGUGCCCCGCCUGGGGAGUACGGCCGCAAGGCUAAAACUCAAAGAAAUUGACGGGGGCCCGCACAAGCGGCGGAGCAUGCGGAUUAAUUCGAUGCAACGCGAAGAACCUUACCAAGGCUUGACAUAUACUGGACCGCAUCAGAGAUGGUGUUUCCCUUCGGGGCUGGUAUACAGGUGGUGCAUGGUUGUCGUCAGCUCGUGUCGUGA